GCAAGUUCUCUACCGUGCGUGCAGUCGGAUCGUCUCACAUUUUUUGCGAAUAUUUUACCGUUUGUGACAGUGAAAAUCGACUAUUUUUUAAAGGUCUGAUUUCUUCGGGUUUCGGAUGUCAAAAUGAAUGGGGUGGACCAUGAAGCUCAACAACAGCAUGUUGUUUCUACCGGUGGUCGUCGGGCAAAUGUUGCUGCUGCUGCCGCCGCGGUUGCUGUAGUCUCGACCGCUGCAGUCGAACCCGCCGUGGUGAAUUCCCCAGAUUGUGAUCAAAAGGCAACAACAUCGGGAAAGUGGACCAAUAAAAUGUAUAAGACGAGUGCCAAAAGGAUUCAGAAAGAGUUGACCGAAAUCAUGUUGGACCCUCCUCCAAAUUGCAGG
Long non-coding RNA from Asterias rubens (European starfish), 381 nucleotides. RefSeq lists it as uncharacterized. The record is from RefSeq and is a predicted model, not a curated record. NCBI's taxonomy places the organism in Eukaryota, Metazoa, Echinodermata, Asteroidea, Forcipulatida, Asteriidae. The transcript has 3 exons.